Small nuclear RNA from Cricetulus griseus (Chinese hamster), 107 nucleotides. The record is from Ensembl. NCBI's taxonomy places the organism in Eukaryota, Metazoa, Chordata, Mammalia, Rodentia, Cricetidae.
GUGCUUGCUUCGACAGCACAAACACUAAAAUUGGAACGAUACAGAGAAGAUUAGCAUGGCCCCUGUGCAAGGAUGACACACAAAUUCAUGAAGCGUUCCGUAUUUUU